This 780-nucleotide non-coding RNA is filed under the name Paradoxopsyllus custodis. Lineage: Eukaryota; Metazoa; Arthropoda; Insecta; Siphonaptera; Leptopsyllidae. The record is from RNAcentral.
UAAAAGUUUGAUUCUAGCUUUAAGAUUUAUUAAAAAUUUAUUAAUACAUGUAAGUUUUUGUGUGGAUAAUAAUAUUAUUUUAAAAAUAAUAUUAUUUUUAUUUUAAUCUCAGUAUUUAGAAUUAAAUAUUAUAGAAAUAUAGAUUUAGUAAUAUUUAAUAUUAUUAGCAAAAAUUGUGCCAGCAGCUGCGGUUAUACAAUUAAUGAAAAUAAAUUUUAUAAGUUAAUAGUUAAUAUAUAAAUAAAUAUUAUAUUGUUUAAUUUUAAGGUGAAAUUUAUUUUAAGUAUAUAAUAUAUUUUGAUUAUGAGGCUAUAAAAAUUAAAAGAUAAACUAGGAUUAGAUACCCUAUUAUUUUAAUUAAUCUUUUAUACUAAGGUAGUAAUAGUUAUAGGCUUGAAACUUAAAGAAUUUGGCGGUAUUUUAAUCUUUUCAGAGGAACCUGUUCUAUAAUCGAUAUUCCACGUUUAAUUUUACUAAAUUUUAGUUUGUAUACCGUUGUCGAAAGAAUAUUUUUAUAAAAUUUUAAUUUUCUAAUAUUUUUAAAAUAAUAGAUGUCAAAUCAAGGUGUAGCUGAUAUUUUAGAAGAAAUGGGUUACAAUAAAAUUAUUUAUACGAAGAAAUUAUUGAAAUAUAAUUUGGAAGGAGGAUUUGAAAGUAAAUUGAUUUUAAUAAAGUUAAUUGAUUGUAGCUCUAAGAUAUGUACAUAUUGCCCGUCGCUCUUUUUUAAAAAAAGAUAAGUCGUAACAUAGUAGAUGUACUGGAAAGUGUAUCUAGAAAGAC